UACUUUUCAAAGUCAUAUUGAAAUGUCACAAAUUAUUCAACCAAUAUUACAAAUUAAACCAAUUAUUGUUACAUAAGCAAUAAAAGGCAAAAUUUUAUUAAUUCUCUUUGGACUUAUAACCGAACAGAAAAAGGAACACCCAAUUAAAAUGGCGGCUUUUUUUUAUAUUUCUUUCUGCACUGUGCAAUAUCGUAUCGUAUACCAAAAUCCGAGUGAUAUGCAGGACUGUGAAAACAAUCUCGACUAUCCAGCGACUGUCAGUACAUAAUUUAUAGCUUGCAACUGUGGUGAGAUAUACAAAUAAUAUAUGCGAGUGAAUUAUGGACAGAUCAGCUGCCCCCCUCGGGAGGAGAAAGUGGUUGAAAUAUGAAAUGUGAGCGAAGUAUAUUGUGAAUACGUUUGCAUUCAAAUGAGUAUAUGUAUCCAUACAUGAAUUUAACCAAUUACUGUUAUUAACUAAUAAAAGGAAAUUCUCUUUGAACUUAUAACCGAAAA
Drosophila virilis is the source of this 495-nucleotide non-coding RNA. The record is from RefSeq and is a predicted model, not a curated record. Lineage: Eukaryota; Metazoa; Arthropoda; Insecta; Diptera; Drosophilidae.